RNAcentral lists this long non-coding RNA (234 nucleotides) under Capsella rubella. RNAcentral's name for it is "long non-coding RNA (CRUB_LNC001476)". The record is from RNAcentral. Lineage: Eukaryota; Viridiplantae; Streptophyta; Magnoliopsida; Brassicales; Brassicaceae.
UUUCUUAAUUUACGGAAAAUCUCAUAAACAUCAAUCUUUUAGAAACAGAGGGAGUAUAUCUUUAGCCAAAGUGCAUUUCAGGUUAGUUCAUUUAAAUGAAGUUGGCAAUUAAAAACAAAAAAAAAACAAAAAUUAUAAACUUUUUGUUACAUGUAUACGUAACAGAAUCAAACAAACAGAAAAGAGGGUUUUGUGAUACAAUGUAAACUAAGAAGAGUUCGCCAUAUAAUGAAG